Molecule: long non-coding RNA, 458 nt
Organism: Carya illinoinensis
Lineage: Eukaryota; Viridiplantae; Streptophyta; Magnoliopsida; Fagales; Juglandaceae
Exons: 2
Source: RefSeq, a predicted model, not a curated record
CCCCCCCCCCCCCCCCCCCCCCCCCCCCCCCCCCCCCCCCUUCCUCCUCUUCCCCCAAGCUGCAUUCUCCUGCAUAUUUAAUCCCCCCUCCGCUGCAUUCGGUCGGAAGUCCCCCUACAUUCUGUCGGAAGCCAUCCACCAUGCGCCACUCCUCCCUGAGAUGUUCUGGUACUGAUCAUGUCUAACUGAAGACGUGAAUGCAAGCUUGCUGUGUCCUUAUAUGGAAGAUGUGUGCCAGUAUUGGUUUGGUCAUGAUUUUUUUGCUGGGGAGUUUGUACCAUUGUUUUGGUUGUGAAAUAUUAAGGGAGUUUGUACCAUUGUUAAAUUUUUUGGUUGUUGGGGAGUUUGUACCAUUGUUUUGGUUGUGAAUAUUUGGCGUGUUGUGGGAAAAGAGUCUCAAACUCCGUAUUGUAUAGAUGAUUGUUUGUUGUGAAUGGAAGGGGAUGAACUUUGUAUAA